GAUGAACGCUGGCGGCGUGCCUAAUACAUGCAAGUCGAGCGAACGGACGAGAAGCUUGCUUCUCUGAUGUUAGCGGCGGACGGGUGAGUAACACGUGGAUAACCUACCUAUAAGACUGGGAUAACUUCGGGAAACCGUAGCUAAUACCGGAUAAUAUUUUGAACCGCAUGGUUCAAAAGUGAAAGACGGUCUUGCUGUCACUUAUAGAUGGAUCCGCGCUGCAUUAGCUAGUUGGUAAGGUAACGGCUUACCAAGGCAACGAUGCAUAGCCGACCUGAGAGGGUGAUCGGCAACACUGGAACUGAGACACGGUCCAGACUCCUACGGGAGGCAGCAGUAGGGAAUCUUCCGCAAUGGGCGAAAGCCUGACGGAGCAACGCCGCGUGAGUGAUGAAGGUCUUCGGAUCGUAAAACUCUGUUAUUAGGGAAGAACAUAUGUGUAAGUAACUGUGCAAAUCUUGACGGUACCUAAUCAGAAAGCCACGGCUAACUACGUG
Molecule: ribosomal RNA, 497 nt
Filed under: uncultured bacterium
Lineage: Bacteria
Description: partial 16S ribosomal RNA
Rfam family: Bacterial small subunit ribosomal RNA
Source: RNAcentral